This is an RNA transcript of Venturia canescens, 953 nucleotides long. It is a transcript of the gene named endocuticle structural glycoprotein SgAbd-1-like, with no coding region annotated. NCBI's taxonomy places the organism in Eukaryota, Metazoa, Arthropoda, Insecta, Hymenoptera, Ichneumonidae. The transcript has 3 exons. The record is from RefSeq and is a predicted model, not a curated record.
UUUUUACCAGUUUCGAUAUAAAAGCCUGACUCGUCGUCAUCGGGGCAUCAAAAAGCAUAGCGACAACAGAAACACCGCCAACAUGAGCAUUCCGAAAAUAUCCGUGUUUAUGGCAAUGGCAAUAGUCGCCAUUUAUGGAGCGCCACUCGACAACUCGGAGCCCAUAGCGAUACUGCGACAGAGUCAGGAUGGUCCUAAUUCUGAUGGUUCUUACAGCUGGAUUUACGAAACUGCGAAUGGUAUACAAGCUCAAGAAGAAGGCAGCCUCGUAGCGUCGAAACAAUCGAACGAAGAUGCAUUAUCAGCAAAAGGCAGCUACAGUUAUACAUCUGAUGAUGGUACACCGAUCCAAAUAAGCUACACCGCGAAUGAAGACGGAUUUCAGCCUCAAGGUGUACAUUUGCCAACUUCUCCACCAAUUCCGGCUGCCAUUAUCAAAGCUCUCGAAUGGAUCGCUGCACAUCCCGAAGAAGACAAUCUUUAAAACUUUAAGACUUUAAAGAACUCAAUUCUAACUGUCAUUACGUUUCAUAUAUACUUUUUUCGUGGUCAGCAGAGGGAAACAAACGCCGUUUUAUCGUCGACUUUGUUCAAAGCUCUCGAUUUGCUACUCUACAAAUGUUAGAACCGGCCAGAUAAAAAGGAACGAAAAAGCCAAAUGGAAGCCGAAGAUGAAAAGAAGUCAAGCAUCAUUGUGACAGUGACUGGCUAUUCGAAUGGCGAAAGAAAAAUCUUAGCUAUGAGCAUUCACUGAAAAAGAUACAUUACAAUAAGCACUUGCGAUGAAAAAAAAAAUCAUUACGAAUUUUGAGCAACAAUGAACAAAUUUUUCUGCGAAUCGAACUUUUUUUUUGUCUAUUCAGAAAAGAUUCGAAGCACCAAUGAUCCUUUACUUGUUGAUAUUAAUGCCAACUGAUGUGAAAAAAUUGAUGAAAAAUAAAAAUUCAAAAUUU